RNAcentral lists this ribosomal RNA (242 nucleotides) under uncultured Bacteroidota bacterium. RNAcentral's name for it is "uncultured Bacteroidetes bacterium partial 16S ribosomal RNA". It matches the Rfam family "Bacterial small subunit ribosomal RNA", at positions 796 to 1041 of the family's 1533-position model. Lineage: Bacteria; Pseudomonadati; Bacteroidota. The record is from RNAcentral.
CACACUGUAAACGAUGAUAACUCGCUGCCGGCGAUACACAGUCGGUAGCCAAGCGAAAGCGAUAAGUUAUCCACCUGGGGAGUACGACCGCAAGGUUGAAACUCAAAGGAAUUGACGGGGGCCCGCACAAGCGGAGGAACAUGUGGUUUAAUUCGAUGAUACGCGAGGAACCUUACCUGGGCUUAAAUGUAGAGUGCAUUUUCUAGAGAUAGAAAUUCCCUUCGGGGCUUUCUGCAAGGUGC